CGGGGGUAGUCUCUGAAAGGAUCCCUGAUUGGAAGCCUUCGUAACAACCAUGGUAGUGGCAGAAACAUGCAAGGAAAGUAGAUAAGGCAGGCAAGUUGAAGGGGCGUAAAUGGGAAUGGAGCAUGCGAGCCGCAAAAGUCGUCCAGAUUCAUGAAAAAUAACGAAUUAGGACGGGAGGGCGUCGAGCGAGCGGCGUCGAUUUAUUAAUCUCUCCUUCGCCGGCGUCGCGCGAGUCAUAAGCUCGCGUUGAUUACGUCCCUGCCCUUUGUACACACCGCCCGUCGCUACGCGCGAGUCAUAAGCUCGCGUUGAUUACGUCCCUGCCCUUUGUACACACCGCCCGUCGCUACCCAUCCGCGCGGAGUCGGGAGGCCGGGAGGGUCGCGGAGCCCCUUCCCGCCGAAGCAACAGUUAUAGGUAUGUUCACAAAGGGUUAUAGAGCGUAAACUCAGUAAUGUCCCUACCGCAGUCUCCAUAAAGG
This 481-nucleotide ribosomal RNA is filed under the name Spodoptera litura. Its description in RNAcentral is "partial 18S ribosomal RNA". Lineage: Eukaryota; Metazoa; Arthropoda; Insecta; Lepidoptera; Noctuidae. The record is from RNAcentral.